This 251-nucleotide ribosomal RNA is filed under the name uncultured prokaryote. Its description in RNAcentral is "partial 16S rRNA". It matches the Rfam family "Bacterial small subunit ribosomal RNA", at positions 525 to 775 of the family's 1533-position model. The record is from RNAcentral.
ACGGAGGGUGCAAGCGUUAAUCGGAAUCACUGGGCGUAAAGCGCGUGUAGGCGGCUUUUUAAGUCGGACGUGAAAGCCCUCGGCUCAACCGGGGAAUUGCGUUCGAUACUGGGAGGCUUGAGUCCUGGAGAGGGUGGCGGAAUUCCGGGUGUAGGAGUGAAAUCCGUAGAUAUCCGGAGGAACACCGGUGGCGAAGGCGGCCACCUGGACAGGUACUGACGCUGAGACGCGAAAGCGUGGGUAGCAAACAG